UUGAUUUUCUGUUUCUCUCCUGGUUCCUGUAUCGAGGUGUUUCACCAAAAACAGUGAGUUGACAAAAACAGGAACCAUUCGUCCAUGCCCAAACACAGAUGACCGCUGACCUCAAGGCUUGGCCCCAACAUUAACCUGAGCUCAACUAAGCUGACCCUGACCCUAACACCACUCUUCAUCUUAUUGUGUGAUAAGUUCAAAUGUGUUUCAUCUUUUAUUUCAACAUCAUUUUCCCACAGUUUCUUUCUUCUGAAUCAAAAGUGAAUCCUUGUUACAGCAAGAAAAGUGAAGUCUCCCCAUGUUUGACCACUUCCUCUUUCGCUGCCCUUCGCACAGAAAUCAAGACCUGCUGAAGUCAAAUGUCAAGACAGAAGAAACACACACACGUGCACACACAGAGGGAGGUUUAUUCACCAGUCACACACACUCAGAUAUUCAUUUUGAUGGUGUAAAGGAAAAAAAACCUUCCGAAAAUGUUAUGGGGCUGUGCUACCCUCUGGUGGCUAAAAGAGAAAUUACAGGUUGAACCAUACAUGAUCUGUUUGUCCCAUUUUAAAAAGAGGAAAAAUUAUAUUUUUAAAGUUGGUAUUUCUCAAUGUUCCGAAUGAUGUGUAAAAUAGUUUCCCUAUAAACAAUAGACACUAAAAAGCAAUCCACUAAAUUAUUAUUAUUAUUAUUAUUAUUAUUACUACAAAAAAAAUUCAAUUUUUUGGAACGCAGCUGUUUGUUAAACAUUAGAACAAAAUCAGAAAAAAUAAUUGUCACAUAGUUUUGUUUUAUUGUAUGUUAUUUUUAAUCCAAAUCCACAAGAGCGCAGCAUCAGUUCACAUACUCCAUUGAAAUGAAACAGUUAAUCGUGUUGAUGAGCAAUACGUCUCAGAAUCCUGUGUAGAAAAUAUUAUACAAAUAGUUUUAAAGGGUUAUUUUUAUUUAUUGUUAUUUAUAGUAUACAUGUAUACGUAUAUUGUUUUUAUUUUGAGGGGGGAAGAGUAAGCAUGCUGCACCACAAGAAGCGGAAGACUCAAACCGGAAGUUACAUUGACCCUUGAAAAACAAAUGUUGUAAACAAGUUUUUCUUUUUAUUAGAAGAAAAAGUGCAUGUGGUAGCUUAUAUGGUAACAAUUCAAUGUAACGUUUACUUUUGCAAAAUAAAAUCCCCCGAAGAAGAAAAAAAACCCAUUUUGACAUCAAGUUAGCUUGCGUGUUUGUGGACGGCGGGCGGAAACCGUCACAGUUAGCAUGAAUAUGCUAAUUCCCGGAAAGGUAAAUUUGUGUUUAUUGCCUACAUUGCUUGACGUCACUGGAACCGUUUUAAAGUCAGCAACAUCAGAACAGGAAGUCGAUAACAGAACAGGAAGACAUUAAGGACACAUCAGUACAAAGUCGUUGACUUCGGGACAAGAAGCCAAGAGAGGACGUGGACACCAGGACAGAAGGUAGUGGACAGGACAGUGGGAGUCAAAUUCUGGGACCUCAGAGCAGGAAGUG
This is a long non-coding RNA of Cynoglossus semilaevis (tongue sole), 1488 nucleotides long. RefSeq lists it as uncharacterized. Lineage: Eukaryota; Metazoa; Chordata; Actinopteri; Pleuronectiformes; Cynoglossidae. The transcript has 3 exons. The record is from RefSeq and is a predicted model, not a curated record.